This 250-nucleotide ribosomal RNA is filed under the name uncultured bacterium. Its description in RNAcentral is "partial 16S ribosomal RNA". It matches the Rfam family "Bacterial small subunit ribosomal RNA", at positions 786 to 1035 of the family's 1533-position model. The record is from RNAcentral.
CCUGGUAGUCCACGCCCUAAACGAUGUCAACUAGUUGUUGGGGAUUCAUUUCCUUAGUAACGUAGCUAACGCGUGAAGUUGACCGCCUGGGGAGUACGGUCGCAAGAUUAAAACUCAAAGGAAUUGACGGGGACCCGCACAAGCGGUGGAUGAUGUGGAUUAAUUCGAUGCAACGCGAAAAACCUUACCUACCUUGACAUGGUCGGAAUCCUGCUGAGAGGUGGGAGUGCUCGAAAGAGAACCGAUACAC